GACGAACGCUGGCGGCGUGCCUAAUACAUGCAAGUCGAACGCACGAAGUUGAAGAGCUUGCUCUUUAACCAAGUGAGUGGCGGACGGGUGAGUAACACGUGGGUAACCUGCCCAUUAGAGGGGAUAACAUUCGGAAACGGAUGCUAAUACCGCAUAGUUUCAGGGAUCGCAUGAUUCUUGAAGGAAAGGUGGCUCCGGCUACCACUAAUGGAUGGACCCGCGGCGUAUUAGCUAGUUGGUGAGGUAAUGGCUCACCAAGGCAAUGAUACGUAGCCGACCUGAGAGGGUGAUCGGCCACACUGGGACUGAGACACGGCCCAGACUCCUACGGGAGGCAGCAGUAGGGAAUCUUCCGCAAUGGACGAAAGUCUGACGGAGCAACGCCGCGUGAGUGAAGAAGGUUUUCGGAUCGUAAAACUCUGUUGUUAAAGAAGAACAAGGAUGAGAGUAACUGCUCAUCCCCUGACGGUAUUUAACCAGAAAGCCACGGCUAACUACGUGCCAGCAGCCGCGGUAAUACGUAGGUGGCAAGCGUUGUCCGGAUUUAUUGGGCGUAAAGCGAGCGCAGGCGGUUCUUUAAGUCUGAUGUGAAAGCCCCCGGCUCAACCGGGGAGGGUCAUUGGAAACUGGAGAACUUGAGUGCAGAAGAGGAGAGUGGAAUUCCACGUGUAGCGGUGAAAUGCGUAGAUAUGUGGAGGAACACCAGUGGCGAAGGCGACUCUCUGGUCUGUAACUGACGCUGAGGCUCGAAAGCGUGGGGAGCAAACAGG
This 770-nucleotide ribosomal RNA is filed under the name uncultured Vagococcus sp. Its description in RNAcentral is "bacterial SSU rRNA". It matches the Rfam family "Bacterial small subunit ribosomal RNA", at positions 28 to 776 of the family's 1533-position model. The record is from RNAcentral. Lineage: Bacteria; Bacillati; Bacillota; Bacilli; Lactobacillales; Enterococcaceae.